This 116-nucleotide transfer-messenger RNA is filed under the name Flavobacterium sp. Its description in RNAcentral is "partial transfer-messenger RNA". It matches the Rfam family "transfer-messenger RNA", at positions 1 to 113 of the family's 374-position model. From Rfam's summary of the family: Bacterial tmRNA, also known as 10Sa RNA or SsrA, is named for its dual tRNA and mRNA-like properties. Its role is to liberate the mRNA from a stalled ribosome. To accomplish this part of the tmRNA is used as a reading frame that ends in a translation stop signal. Lineage: Bacteria; Pseudomonadati; Bacteroidota; Flavobacteriia; Flavobacteriales; Flavobacteriaceae. The record is from RNAcentral.
GGGGUCGACCGGUUUUGACAGCAGGUGGAACUAAACGGUAAGCACGUCGAGCAUUGGACAUUUGGCUCGUAAAUAUCAAGGUUCACACUUUAUAAACGGCGAAAAUAAUUACGCUU